GUGCUCACUUCCACAGCAAUUAUACUAAAAUUGGAAUGAGAGAGAAGAUUAGUAUGGCCCAGUGCAAGGAUGACAUGCAAAUGCAUGAAGCGUUCCCUAUUUUG
Small nuclear RNA from Neomonachus schauinslandi (Hawaiian monk seal), 104 nucleotides. NCBI's taxonomy places the organism in Eukaryota, Metazoa, Chordata, Mammalia, Carnivora, Phocidae. The record is from RefSeq and is a predicted model, not a curated record.